GACGUAGGGCGCGAGCGUUGUCCGGAUUUAUUGGGCGUAAAGAGCUCGUAGGCGGCCGGUUGCGUCUGCUGUGAAAUCCCGGGGCUUAACCCCGGGCGUGCAGUGGAUACGGGCCGGCUGGAGGCAGGCAGGGGAGAAUGGAAUUCCCGGUGUAGCGGUGAAAUGCGCAGAUAUCGGGAGGAACACCAGUGGCGAAGGCGGUUGCCUGGGGCUUUGCUGACGCUGAUGCGCGAAAGCGUGGGGAGCGAUCCGG
RNAcentral lists this ribosomal RNA (253 nucleotides) under uncultured bacterium. Its description in RNAcentral is "partial 16S ribosomal RNA". It matches the Rfam family "Bacterial small subunit ribosomal RNA", at positions 524 to 776 of the family's 1533-position model. The record is from RNAcentral.